RNAcentral lists this ribosomal RNA (735 nucleotides) under uncultured bacterium. RNAcentral describes it as "bacterial SSU rRNA". It matches the Rfam family "Bacterial small subunit ribosomal RNA", at positions 8 to 777 of the family's 1533-position model. The record is from RNAcentral.
AGAGUUUGAUCCUGGCUCAGAACGAACGCUGGCGGCAGGCCUAACACAUGCAAGUCGAACGUGAAGCCUUCCUUCGGGAAGGUGGAAAGUGGCAGACGGGUGAGUAACGCGUGGGAAUUUGCCCAGUGGUACGGAAUAGCUCCGGGAAACUGGAAUUAAUGCCGUAUACGCCCUCCGGGGGAAAGAUUUAUCGCCAUUGGAUGAGCCCGCGUCGGAUUAGCUUGUUGGUGGGGUAAAAGCCUACCAAGGCGACGAUCCGUAGCUGGUCUGAGAGGAUGAUCAGCCACACUGGGACUGAGACACGGCCCAGACUCCUACGGGAGGCAGCAGUGGGGAAUAUUGCACAAUGGGCGCAAGCCUGAUGCAGCCAUGCCGCGUGAGUGAAGAAGGCCCUAGGGUUGUAAAGCUCUUUCAGCGGGGAAGAUAAUGACGGUACCCGCAGAAGAAGCCCCGGCCAACUCCGUGCCAGCAGCCGCGGUAAUACGGAGGGGGCUAGCGUUGUUCGGAAUUACUGGGCGUAAAGCGCGCGUAGGCGGGCUGGCCAGUUGGGGGUGAAAUCCCGAGGCUCAACCUCGGAACUGCCCUCAAUACUGUCAGCCUCGAGUCCGGGAGAGGUGAGUGGAAUUCCUAGUGUAGAGGUGAAAUUCGUAGAUAUUAGGAAGAACACCAGUGGCGAAAGCGGCUCACUGGCCCGGUACUGACGCUGAAGCGCGAAAGCGUGGGGAGCAAACAGGA